GUGGGGAAUAUUGGACAAUGGGCGAAAGCCUGAUCCAGCAAUGCCGCGUGAGUGAUGAAGGCCUUAGGGUUGUAAAGCUCUUUCGGGUGGGACGAUGAUGACGGUACCACCAGAAGAAGCCCCGGCUAACUUCGUGCCAGCAGCCGCGGUAAUACGAAGGGGGCUAGCGUUGUUCGGAAUUACUGGGCGUAAAGCGCACGCAGGCGGCUCGUUAAAUUAGAAGUGAAAGCCUUGGGCUUAACCUGAGAAUUGCUUUUAAGACUGGCGAGCUAGAAUCCAGAAGAGGGUAGUGGAAUUCCGAGUGUAGAGGUGAAAUUCGUAGAUAUUCGGAAGAACACCAGUGGCGAAGGCGACUACCUGGUCUGGCAUUGACGCUCAUGUGCGAAAGCGUGGGGAGCAAACAGGAUUAGAUACCCUUGUAGUCC
Molecule: ribosomal RNA, 425 nt
Filed under: uncultured bacterium
Lineage: Bacteria
Description: bacterial SSU rRNA
Rfam family: Bacterial small subunit ribosomal RNA
Source: RNAcentral